UAGAAGAAUCUUUCCCCAGCAAGAAAGAGCAAGAACAAGAUCCCACGUUUGUCCCCGAGUCCGAAAACGGCUAUGGCUUGUAUGGUCACGAGACCACCUACAACAACAACAACAAAGAAGAGUUCAACAACAACAACAACAAGUACGAUGAAAACUUCAAGGAAGAGUUCAACAACAACAAGUACGACGAAAACGUCAAGGAAGAGUUCAACAACAACAAGUACGAUGAAAACGUUAAGGAAGAGUCAUUCUCUGAGAACAAUGAAGACAAGAGAGGUAUCUACAACUCCAACGCUUACGGAACGGAGCAAGAGCGUGAAACGCCGUACAAAGGUUACAGCCAUAACUUGGAGAGACAAGGCAUGAGUGACACAAGGUUCAUGGAGAAAGGUAACUACUACUAUGACCUUUACAACGACAGAAACCACGGCCAUUUCUACCGGAAGCCUCAUCAGAAAAGCCCUGCCGGUUACUAUUCUUCUCAGGAGACUGGGAAUAACUACGACCAGUCGUACAACAACUACAACAACGAGGAGGAGAAGAGCUUCAAGGAUCAGUACAAUUCCAAGUGGGAGAAGAACAUGAUGAACAAACAGCCUGAAGAGUUUGUUGAGGAGCAAGGAGACCAGUUCAAGCCUUGAUGAAGAAUUGAUGUUUGAUUUCCUCUCAAGAUCAUUACACUCUUAAAAAGUAUUUUCUUUUUAUUUCAACUAAGUUAUUUUACUUCUGGUUGAUUAGUCAAACUAAGUCGUUGUUAUCAUUGCAAGUGAAAAAGGGAAAGGGGGGUUUUGUGUUUUUUUUUUCUUUUAGUUGAAAUGGGUUUGCUUUUUAUGGGAUUUUGAACUUUGAUGUUUGCGUUUGCAUAUAAUAUUCGAAGAAAAGAUAGUAAAAUAUAUGGUGCUGCUUUAUGUUAUUUUCUUAUGUUAAUCACCUUUGGUUAUUUUGUUUAAAAAGAAGUUGAUUAAAGGACUAUGGAUUCAUAAUUUUAAAGGGACAAAACGUGACUGCUUUUCAUGAUUUAUAAUGGGGGACAUGGUGAUGCCCAUUCCCUCUUGCAGAAGUGCAAAAGAAACAUUAAUAAUUACUUGCACACCCAAUCCAAUAUUUAGUUUUAUGAAUACAUUUAUAUAGGAUUAAAAUCUACAUAUUAUAGAUACCAAAAAGAAUCGGUUUGUUCUGAAUGUUAGAUGGGAUGGGUACAUCAACAGUUAUCAACCGGUAUUAAUUACUGGUCCUAAGGGUGUAAAUGUGUAAUCCCAAAUCAUAGACAUACACUAUUGCAUUCGGCCUUUGUACUUACAUAACUUAGCUUUAACUGGAUACUUUGUCUUUUCUUUUUUGAACAAGACAUUGAAUACUUCGUUAGAAAUUAAAUAGGUAGUCCUUAAAUAUAGGAUGCGUUUUGGAUUAAUGGUGUUAUAUGGGUGGAAAAGACAACAGAAACGCCGUGACGAGUAAAAGACAAAGACACUUCAAAGGCACUUAGCAAUGAGAAUCCACCUCUUGACUAGGAAAAGAAGACUCCCAAUACCGUUAAUCACGGCUAACAUAAAGGACAAACUUAGUUCCCCUUUUUCUUUUUUUUUUCCAGGAUCUAUAUAUUUUACUCUAUUUUUUUUCUGAAUAUAUUAGUUGAUUUUUAACCAUAUCAAUAUGUAUGUUAGUAUAUAAAUCAAAUCCAAGAAUAUUGUAUACCAUAUAAUAAACUGUCUUGCUAUAAUUGUUUGCUACUAUAACUAUAUUUUAUUUACGUAUUCAUUCAAAUAUUAUUAAUUAAUCAUGAUAUCAAUUUGUAUUAAGAAAAUUGCAUUAGCUUCUAUUUAUUCUUUUUUAUAAAAAGAGCUUACUUCUACUUCUUUAUUAAUGAUAAAUAACUAACUAAAAGAAUGAUAUGACAUUUUUCUGCUAAUGGGUUUUAUAAUCGUACGAGAAAAAGGGAAUAUAUAACCCAUUUUUUACCUAAAUGUGUUACAAAAAAAAUUAAAAUUGCUGACAUAAGUUUCUUUCUGGGAUGUAAGAGAAACCUUAGAUGAAUCAUAGGUUUUGAGAAAACUUCUUAAACUAAUGCCAUUUGCAACACAAUUUAUUCGUAUAUAAAAUUACAUAAUGCUCAAUCCGUGAUGUAUUGGUCUAACUAUUGGCACCCUCAAGAAAGGCUUAUAGAUGUAACAUAGGCUUUGAACAUAUAAAAAAUUGGUAUAUAAAGAAAUUAAAAUUGUUUGAAGUAUUUGUGGACUUGGAAUAUCAUAACCUCCAUUAUAGAAUCUAAUAUAUUAAAACUGAAGUACAUUUGGAGAAUCACCCUUAUUUCAUCUUAGUAUUUAUCAACUUGUGCCACUGAAAUUUAAACCAUUAUUUGUUUAUUUUAUUAAAGACGUUUUUAAUUUUUAUCAAAAACAAUGAUUAGUUUGUUAUGCAAUUAAUACUCCAAUAUUAAUAAGACUUUCCCUAAAAGUAGACAAUCAGUUAAGAAAAAGAUCCCGUAAAUGAUACUAACAUUUAAUAGUUUAUAACCAUAAUUUACAUGCAACCGAUUUUAGAUAUUACCUUACACUUAUUCUCCAUUAGUGCAUCUCACGUAUGUAUCUACAUAAUAUAAACUUCUGAGGUAAAUCAAAUUGAUUGUAUUAUUCAUUAAAAAUAGAUCAUCAAUUAAUUGAAAUUAAUUAUCAUAUUUCACUCUUGCCAUCUAAUAUAAUCAAAUUUGUCGAUUGAAUAGCAUAUAUUAUGUAACACACCGUCUUUAUUCAUUCUGAUAGUUAGUGAUUUGUGUAUCAGUUAGAUUCUGUUAAAGGGCUCUGCUUGGUGGUUCGUUCGUUCACCUUCUUAUGUUUGGUUGCUCAAUAUAAAUCAUAGAAACAAAAAAAGAUCGUCAUAUCUCCUUACCUUUGAUAAUUUGUGUAUUUCCAAAUUCUAUUUACGCAUUGCAGAUAAUCUAAUUUGGGAUUUUGUAUUACUUUUACCAUUGAUUAUAUGCUAUUGCGAUGGACCUAAAUUCUUCACCCCAGCAUGAAGAAGACGAUAGUCCUUCUAUUAACAGACGCUUUGAACCCCAAGUUGAGUCUACUGUUAACAAAUAAUCUAACUAAACUGUAUUCGGAUAUUGUAAAUAUUUGGAUGGAAUUCGGAUUCAGAUCUUUCUGGGUCCAAAUAAAUUUGUAGAAACCUAAAAAUAGGAUAACUUAUGUGUUUAAAAUUUUCUUUAAACAAUUUAUAAAAAAUGUGAAAAUUAACAACCGCACAGACGUGCGGAUCAAGUUCUAGUUAUGUAAUUAAAUUGGAGAAGCUAUGAGUAACAUGAGGAAUUAGAAAUCUAAAUAAAAUGUUUGUAAUGAGAUUAGACAAAGAUCAUGUUCCAGAGUCAACAUGCAUUUAUUUGGAGUGAAAGGGCAUAUGAUUUCUCGUUGUGGACGAGAAAAAUGACUAGUUAAAAAGAUUGCGAGGUGGACGUUAGAAAAUUAAUCUGAAAAAAAAAAUUGAAUAUGGAUCUAGAGAAGUUUCUAUGGCAUGUUAAUAAUGGUUAUAAGAAAAGGAAAUUUUGCACUCCCAAUUGUUGGAUCAUUUGGAAUUCAAGCUAGAGAUUCGUUAGAUCAAGAAAUUGCAAAUGUUUUUUUAUAGGACAUAUACCAUUUAAUUUUUUAAGAAAUCCAAGCUAUCAUUGGUCCAAAAAACGACAUAUUUGGACCUGCACUUUUAUCUAGUGCGACGAUUCGUACCCGCACAUUAGAAGUUUAGAACUAUGCGCUUAUAUACUUUCACUAUGGUUUCAUCAAAUAUGCAUAUCUGAAAUAUAGAAAAGGUUGUUAAUUCAUAGCAAACAGUGUUAUCUACCUGUUACAGAUGAUGACUGGACUGUUGAGUCAGCAACGAGGAUAGAAAACAACAUUGUUUAAGAAUGGGUUUGUGGGCAAAAAAAAAUUAACCCUAAAUGACUUCGUUUUAGAUUAGAGCUUAAGAUAUCUGUUUCUUCUUCCUUUCUCUUCUCUGGCAGAGUCAAGGUUCAAAGUAAAAACUUUAGUUCUCUAAAAUACGAAGCUUUUACACACAAUCAUGAAUGAGGCUUAUAGGAAUCACAAUUUGAAAGAAAAAUAUUAGUUAUUGUAUCUAGGCUCUCUGAUUUCCCUUAAAAGGAAGUAAAUUCUAGAAUUAGAGUUUUCAAAAUUCAGAGGUUUUUCAGACAUUAUUUUUCAUCAGUUCCAUAAAUCCUAAUCAAUGACCCUUCUCCACACCUACAUGUACUUGGCAUCCCUCUGUCCUUUUCACAUUUGUGUCUCCAAUUUCCUGCAACAUUCAAAGAAUCAAAGGCAGAGCGGAAGAAAAUAAGAAAAGAAACUAACGAGAAUUUGGGCACUUUAACCUAUGAAUUAAUUUUUCAAUCGAUACAGAGGAGGAGUUUGGGUUUGAUGAAGAAGCUAUUGAUUUGCGGUCGAAAACCUAAAACCUUUGAGUCUGUCGCGGGGGAAGAGAAAGGAAGAAGAAACAGAAAUUUUAAGCUUUACUCUAAAAUAAAGCCGUCUUGAGUUAUUUUUCUUUUUGCCCACAAACCCAUUCUUAAACGACGUCGUUCUCUAACAACAACAACAAAGAAGAGUUCAACAACAACAACAACAAGUACGAUGAAAAAUUCAACGGUGAGACUUUCUCAACUCCAAGCCUGAGCGAGACCGAAGAGUCUUACAACAACUACGAGGAGAACUACCCGAAGAAGACCGAGAGCUACGACAACAACCGUUACAACAACGAAGAGUUCAACAACAAGUACGAUGAAAACUUCAAGGAAGAGUUCAACAACAACAAGUACGACGAAAACGUCAAGGAAGAGUUCAACAACAACAAGUACGACGAAAACUUCAAGGAAGAGUUCAACAACAACAAGUACGAUGAAAACGUCAAGGAAGAGUUCAACAACAACAAGUACGAUGAAAACGUUAAGGAAGAGUCAUUCUCUGAGAACAAUGAAGACAAGAGAGGUAUCUACAACUCCAACGCUUACGGAACGGAGCAAGAGCGUGAAACGCCGUACAAAGGUUACAGCCAUAACUUGGAGAGACAAGGCAUGAGUGACACAAGGUUCAUGGAGAAAGGUAACUACUACUAUGAC
This 5101-nucleotide long non-coding RNA is filed under the name Brassica napus (rape). RNAcentral's name for it is "long non-coding RNA (BNAP_LNC007742)". Lineage: Eukaryota; Viridiplantae; Streptophyta; Magnoliopsida; Brassicales; Brassicaceae. The record is from RNAcentral.